This is a long non-coding RNA of Hemicordylus capensis (graceful crag lizard), 649 nucleotides long. RefSeq lists it as uncharacterized. Lineage: Eukaryota; Metazoa; Chordata; Lepidosauria; Squamata; Cordylidae. The record is from RefSeq and is a predicted model, not a curated record. The transcript is spliced from 2 exons.
UGUGAGGCAAUGUGAGAUGGCAGUGAGAGGCCUUGCAAGGGAACUUCAUAUAGGCCAAGUGGGCUUAUGAGGGAACAUGACUCAUGAGGAGUUGUGCAACGCUAUACGAGGCAGCAGGGGUGGGGCGGUGAAUGGAAUUGUGAGGGCAUCCAAGACAGUGACAAGGUGCAGCUUCAAGAUCAACAUCACCAGGGCAAUGACAAGCAUCAUGACUCAACAAUGGGCCUAUUGAUAAGUAAUAGGUAGUUGAACCUGUGUUUGGGCAGUGUCACUUCUGACUGAUGUCACUUCUGACAUGUAGUCUCCACAUGAUCGAGUGCUCCUCCAGAGAAGGCUAGGCUUGGAAUUUUUUUUGUAUUAAGUGGUCCUGUCCAGACACAGAUUGACUACUUGUCAACUAGACCUGACAAGGUCCAUGGGAUCCUUAUCAGGCUUAGCUGACUGCUACAUAUUGGAGCCAAGAAGGAAUUUUCCCUGUUAGGUGGGCCAGACCCAUUGGAUUUAAAUAAAACAGGCUUUUUGCAUUCUCUGCACUGCCUUCUUCUUGGGCUGCAGCACCCUGGCUGGCCUCUCAAGACAAGUUAAAAUGUGGGUCUUUGAUAAAACAAAACAUAAGUAAAUUUAAUGAAGUUGUUAUAGUUUAUACGUA